AUACCACCAGCAGCGCCCACUGUGUCAUCCCUCUCCAGGUCCAGCAUGAACCUCCGGCCUCCCGCGUAGACAAGGACUUCCUCGGCUCUGCUGGAACCCGAAGCCAGGGAAAAAUGAGACGGGAGGAAAGAAGAGAAAAGAAAACACCUAAAACGUUUAAAAAUCAAAAGCUAGGAGGCGGCCUGCGGAGAACCAGCGAGGCGGCGCGUCCCGGUCCCUUCCGCUGCCGCGUCCUCCCGCCAGGGAUCAUCCCCAAUCGGCUGCUGCGGGCGCGGAGAGCGGCUCAGGCGCUGUGAAGAUGCGAGGAGGUGGGACAAUGAAUUUAUAGCGGCGUGCCAUCCUGCAAUGGCAAUUUCAACAAUUCGUCACUGCACGCUGCCUCUUAAAGGGAGAGCUUCCCCCACCACUCCCACCCUUCCCGGUCCGCGCCUAAUCUGAUGGGGGAGGGCACAGGCAGAGGAGGAGGGUGAUCGAGGAAAGGGAGACCGGGAAGGAGGAAGGGGCCAGAACCUAGCAAGGUGGAAGGAGAGACAAAGGAGGGAGUAAGGAUAAGCGAGAGAUUGAGAGAGAAAAAGUAUCUGAGCAGGAAACAAGAAAAUUCACUUGGCCUCAUUUAAAGCCGCAGCAACUCCGGGUUUGUGUGGUAUUUCACAACCAAUCGGGGUUGGCUAACCUCGGCUUACCUCAUCUCCUGAAAGGGUGUUUUUGGUGUGUUUUCAAAGUCUCUCCCUGCUGCCUCGUUCCCGUUGCUGUUCUUGCGCGGGAUAUGAAGUUCUUGCCUUGUUUUGCUGGCCGAUGCGCUCUGGCCUUGUAGACCUGGUAAUUUCACUGGUCAGGGCAGCCACCCGUGCACCCUCGAGUCCAUCUCUCCUUUCCCUGGCUCCCUCCAGUCGGUCCCGGUAGCUGAUUUCCAGCCUUCUCAUCUCCUAGCUUGUUCAAGCUCCAGCACUUGCUGACUUUGGGCUAAGGGUGACUAACUUCUCCCAGCCACCAGCUGAGUAGCCAGGCAGCCACGGGUGCUUCCUGGCGAGUCUCUGGGCAUGCAGCACUGCGGUGACCCCAACAGGGCCGACUGCGGCCUGGGAAGUCCUUGGCUUUGUGUAUAAAUGGCGGUGCUCCCAGCUUUUUCCAGCGCAUAGUUGGUCGGUGCCCACAAUCUGUCACUCACCCCAGCCACUGGAACUCUCUGAGCUGUAGGAUGUCAGGGUGGGAAAGAGUUAACUCUUGAAGGGAAUUCCGCACCCCCACCCCAGACUUUUACAUUUGUGCUCACACGUUCUCCCUUUCCUUCUUAAAAGGUAAUUAAAUGGCAAACACUC
Molecule: long non-coding RNA, 1319 nt
Organism: Arvicanthis niloticus (Nile rat)
Lineage: Eukaryota; Metazoa; Chordata; Mammalia; Rodentia; Muridae
Source: RefSeq, a predicted model, not a curated record